Molecule: long non-coding RNA, 740 nt
Organism: Amphiprion ocellaris (clown anemonefish)
Lineage: Eukaryota; Metazoa; Chordata; Actinopteri; Pomacentridae
Exons: 3
Source: RefSeq, a predicted model, not a curated record
GGCAGUCGGUCCUGAGCAAAGACUGAAAGAGGAUCUAACCCUGAAAUCUGCUGUUACCUGAAGCUUCACCAUCCAGAAGCCUCAAGAAUCCACCUUCAGCUCACAGAUCCUGCAGUUCCUCAGCCAGGACUGCUGCUGUCUAGGUCUCCAGACUUAGAGACAGAUUUUACGGCAGCCACCGCUUCAUUAAGCAGCAGGAUGGAGGGCAGCAGUAAGACGGAGAACAAGCAUCCCGGCCAGGGUUUCGUGUCGGAAACAUCAGGACAGACGGACUCUUUCCUCACCGCCGCACGACUGCUGCGAGGAGGUUGGCUGGAGGAAGAGAUGACAACAAGGAAGCCAUUUUCAAAUGGGGAAGAGUGUCAACAAUCUCCUUCCAGUUCAGACAGAAUUCAGGUUCUACAUGGAGCCAAGCUUUGCCUCAAGGGCCUCCAGACCAGGAGGGUUCUAGUCCUGAGCAGCAGGAAGACUGAAGAGAGAGAGACAGGCUCUGAAACAAAGACAGACGAAGCAAAGCAGAUGGCUGAAGGAACAGAAAGACAGAGAGAAAGACAGACGGUGAAGGUCUGGACGUCCGGCUGUCGCAUGACAUGCAGACAGUCCAGAAGAUUUAAGGCUCCAAUACUACCAGCAAUUGCUGAGAUAUAAGCUGUUUUUUUUUUUAACUAUGGUUAAAUGUACAGUUGUGUGGUGGAACGUGUGAAUUUUGCUCAAUAAAAUGCAAAUAUGUGGAAAUGUAA